Molecule: long non-coding RNA, 670 nt
Filed under: Phascolarctos cinereus (koala)
Lineage: Eukaryota; Metazoa; Chordata; Mammalia; Diprotodontia; Phascolarctidae
Description: lncRNA (ENSPCIG00000032604.1)
Source: RNAcentral
AUGGAGAGAAGUGGGCACCUUCCAUCUUUUCCUGUAUCCUGCUUGAUUUCCAGCCUCUCAUGGGAGAAGGAAGUGGAGAGAUUAAAUAGUGGUGCCAUAAACACAGAGAGAAAGAUUAUGAAGAAAUGUUCUAUGAAUGUAAUGGUGAUCAGGAUGAACAAACAAAAGACGAUGAACAUCUUCCUGAAUGGUUCCCCUUUUUGGUCACCAGGAGAACAUGAGAGAAGCACAAGAUGAAAUCCAAGCCAUCUGACUCCAUCCUCUUGAUGUGAAGGAAAUUUCAACAGAGCCUGUUUUCUGAAUUUUCAGUCUAUCUCAUUCUGAGAAUUACACUCCAUAAAAGCAAUGGAUAGAAUGCUGAGCCUGGAGUCAGGAAGAACUAAAUUUAAAUCUUCCCUCACACACUUACUAGCUGUAUGACUUUGAGGAAGUCACUUCAACUCUGUUUGUUUGUUUCCUCAUCUGUAAAAUGGGGAUAAUAAUAGCAGCUACUUCCCAGGGUUGUUGUGAGAAUCAAAUGAGAUAAUAUUUGUAAAGCACUUAUAAUAGUGCCUGGCACAGAGUAAAUGCUAUUCAAAUGUUAGCUGUUACUGGAUUACUAUUAUUUCCAUUUUAUUGUAUCCUUUUAUGGUGUUUAAAUAAAUCACAUGGCUAUAAGUGAAAUUGGCCA